RNAcentral lists this ribosomal RNA (433 nucleotides) under uncultured bacterium. Its description in RNAcentral is "partial 16S ribosomal RNA". It matches the Rfam family "Bacterial small subunit ribosomal RNA", at positions 29 to 507 of the family's 1533-position model. The record is from RNAcentral.
AACGAACGCUGGCGGCAUGCCUAACACAUGCAAGUCGAACGAGACCUUCGGGUCUAGUGGCGCACGGGUGCGUAACGCGUGGGAACCUGCCCUUAGGUUCGGAAUAAUUCCCCGAAAGGGGUGCUAAUACCGGAUAAUGUCUUCGGACCAAAGAUUUAUCGCCUUUGGAUGGGCCCGCGUUGUAUUAGCUUGUUGGUAGGGUAAAAGCCUACCAAGGCUACGAUCCAUAGCUGGUCUGAGAGGAUGAUCAGCCACACUGGGACUGAGACACGGCCCAGACUCCUACGGGAGGCAGCAGUGGGGAAUAUUGGAAAAUGGGCGAAAGCAUGAUGCAGCAAGGCCGCGUGAGUGAUGAAGGCCUUAGGGUUGUAAAGCUCUUUUACCCGGGAUGAUAAUGACAGUACCGGGAGAAUAAGCACCGGCUAACUCCGUG